CCUACGGGUGGCAGCAGUGAGGAAUAUUGGUCAAUGGCCGGAAGGCUGAACCAGCCAAGUCGCGUGAGGGAAGACUGCCCUAUGGGUUGUACACCUCUUUUAUCAGGGAAGAAUAAAUGCUACGUGUAGCAUGAUGCCUGUACCCUAUGAAUAAGCAUCGGCUAACUCCGUGCCAGCAGCCGCGGUAAUACGGAGGAUGCGAGCGUUAUCCGGAUUUAUUGGGUUUAAAGGGUGCGUAGGCGGUUGUUUAAGUUAGUGGUUAAAUGUCGGGGCUUAACCUUGUGUUGCCAGUAAUACUGGAAGACUCGAGUUCAGACAAAGUAGGCGGAAUACGUUAAGUAGCGGUGAAAUGCUUAGAUAUAGCGUAGAACUCCGAUUGCGAAGGCAGCUUACCAGAGUGCGACUGACGCUGAAGCACGAGAGCGUGGGUAGCGAACAGGAUUAGAUACCCCAGUAGUC
RNAcentral lists this ribosomal RNA (459 nucleotides) under uncultured bacterium. RNAcentral's name for it is "partial 16S ribosomal RNA". It matches the Rfam family "Bacterial small subunit ribosomal RNA", at positions 338 to 795 of the family's 1533-position model. The record is from RNAcentral.